Long non-coding RNA from Oncorhynchus keta (chum salmon), 452 nucleotides. RefSeq lists it as uncharacterized. Lineage: Eukaryota; Metazoa; Chordata; Actinopteri; Salmoniformes; Salmonidae. The record is from RefSeq and is a predicted model, not a curated record. The transcript is spliced from 3 exons.
GGUUAUAAUACACUGAUGAGGUAAUGAUACACUGAUGAGGUUUUAAUACACUGAUGAGGUAAUGAUACACGGAUGAGGUAAUGAUACACUGAUGAGGUUUUAAUACACUGAUGAGGUAAUGAUACACGGAUGAGGUUUUAGUACACUGAUGAGGUAAUGAUACACGGAUGAGGUUUUAAUACACUGAUGAGGUUUUAAUACACUGAUGAGGUUUUAAUACACUGAUGAGGUUUUAGUACACUGAUGAGGUAAUGAUACACUGAUGAGGUAAUGAUACACUGAUGAGGUUUUAAUACACUGAUGAGGUUGUAAUACACUGAUGAGGUAAUGAUACACUGAUGAGGUUUUAAUACACGGAUGAGGUAAUGAUACACUGAUGAGGUUUUAAUACACUGAUGAGGUUUUAAUACACUGAUGAGGUUUUAAUACACUGAUGAGGUAAUGAUACACUG